Molecule: long non-coding RNA, 676 nt
Filed under: Homo sapiens (human)
Lineage: Eukaryota; Metazoa; Chordata; Mammalia; Primates; Hominidae
Description: non-protein coding lnc-LRP12-3:1
Source: RNAcentral
GUGGAGGCAGAGGCCACGCUGAGAGCCAUCACCAUAGCCAGCGCUGUGAACUGUCCUCUCUACAUUGUGCAUGUGAUGAGCAAGUCUGCAGCUAAGGUGAUAGCGGAUGCAAGGAGAGAUGGGAAGGUGGUCUAUGGUGAACCCAUAGCAGCCAGUCUUGGCACAGAUGGCACUCACUACUGGAAUAAAGAAUGGCACCAUGCAGCCCACCAUGUCAUGGGUCCACCUUUGCGACCAGACCCCUCAACACCCGACUUCCUCAUGAAUCUGUUGGCUAAGUAAUCAUUUUGCAGAUGACUGGGAAGUGUAUUGCCAAAAGAAGGUUUGGGUAGAAGGGAGCUCGUCCUCCCAUCUGGAUCCUCCACUAACCUCCCAGUAUUCUCUUCUACUUGACCUGUCAGGUCCUGGGUACCCCUCACCUGCAGAGCAAAAAACAUUGACUUAAUUAUGCUGUGAUAUGUUGUCAAAGCCUUUCCUAGACUCUCAGAAAUCAGAUCGUUUUCACUGAAACUUUACUCUUUUCUGACUUUUUUCAUCUCUUGUUGCCCAAACCCAGGGCUCUUCAUUACACCUUACUUUUUAUCAGAAUAUUGUUGAAUUUUUUUCUAUGCUGAUAUAAUAUGGGAACUAGGUUAACCCUGUUACUUUCUGGGAACAUAUGAUCAUUUUUCUUGAA